This 253-nucleotide ribosomal RNA is filed under the name uncultured Desulfatiferula sp. RNAcentral describes it as "partial 16S ribosomal RNA". It matches the Rfam family "Bacterial small subunit ribosomal RNA", at positions 524 to 776 of the family's 1533-position model. Lineage: Bacteria; Pseudomonadati; Thermodesulfobacteriota; Desulfobacteria; Desulfobacterales; Desulfobacteraceae. The record is from RNAcentral.
UACGGGGGGUGCGAGCGUUAUUCGGAAUUAUUGGGCGUAAAGGGCGCGUAGGCGGUAGAUCAAGUCAGAUGUGAAAGCCCGGAGCUUAACUCCGGAAGUGCAUUUGAAACUGGUCGACUUGAGUAUGGGAGAGGAAAGCGGAAUUCCUGGUGUAGAGGUGAAAUUCGUAGAGAUCAGGAGGAACACCUGUGGCGAAGGCGGCUUUCUGGACCAAUACUGACGCUGAGGCGCGAAGGCGUGGGGAGCAAACAGG